AGUGAACGCUGGCGGUAGGCCUAACACAUGCAAGUCGAACGGCAGCGCAGUAAGAGCUUGCUCUUACGGGUGGCGAGUGGCGGACGGGUGAGGAAUACAUCGGGAUCUACUUUUUCGUGGGGGAUAACGUAGGGGAACUUACGCUAAUACCGCAUACGACCUACGGGUGAAAGCAGUGGAUCUUCGGACCUUGCGCGGUUGAAUGAGCCGAUGUCGGUUUAGCUAGUUGGCGGGGUAAAGACCCACCAAGGCGACGAUCCGUAGCUGGUCUGAGAGGAUGAUCAGCCACACUGGAACUGAGACACGGUCCAGACUCCUACGGGAGGCAGCAGUGGGGAAUAUUGGACAAUGGGCGCAAGCCUGAUCCAGCCAUACCGCGUGGGUGAAGAAGGCCUUCGGGGUGUAAAGCCCUUUUGUUGGGAAAGAAAAGCAGCAGGUUAAUACCCCGCUGUUCUGACGGUACCCAAAGAAUAAGCACCGGCUAACUUCGUG
RNAcentral lists this ribosomal RNA (492 nucleotides) under uncultured bacterium. Its description in RNAcentral is "partial 16S ribosomal RNA". It matches the Rfam family "Bacterial small subunit ribosomal RNA", at positions 29 to 507 of the family's 1533-position model. The record is from RNAcentral.